Molecule: ribosomal RNA, 427 nt
Filed under: uncultured bacterium
Lineage: Bacteria
Description: partial 16S ribosomal RNA
Rfam family: Bacterial small subunit ribosomal RNA
Source: RNAcentral
UGGGGAAUAUUGCACAAUGGGCGCAAGCCUGAUGCAGCCAUGCCGCGUGUAUGAAGAAGGCCUUCGGGUUGUAAAGUACUUUCAGCGAGGAGGAAGGCGGUAAGGUUAAUAACCUUAUCGUUUGACGUUACUCGCAGAAGAAGCACCGGCUAACUCCGUGCCAGCAGCCGCGGUAAUACGGAGGGUGCAAGCGUUAAUCGGAAUUACUGGGCGUAAAGCGCACGCAGGCGGUCUGUCAAGUCGGAUGUGAAAUCCCCGGGCUCAACCUGGGAACUGCAUUCGAAACUGGCAGGCUAGAGUCUUGUAGAGGGGGGUAGAAUUCCAGGUGUAGCGGUGAAAUGCGUAGAGAUCUGGAGGAAUACCGGUGGCGAAGGCGGCCCCCUGGACAAAGACUGACGCUCAGGUGCGAAAGCGUGGGGAGCAAACA